GGGAAGAUCUGGAUGGGACUGAAGAGAGAUUCUUCAUCUCAUCCGCGCGUGGAAGAAUACACAAUCCCUCCAAUGACCUCCGACGGCUGCACAUAAGGUAUGGCGUCAGACCAUGGGUGACCAGCCAGAGAGCACGCCGGGCCUUCGAGACAGCCACCAAGAGUCUGACUGACACAGAAGUAUCUGGUGGCUGACUACGUAACACAUUCGACUGCUACAGCGGAGAAACAUUACCGCGUGAAGCGGGCGGACAACGCAGUGAGGGCUAGUCAGCUCCUGGAUUCGCUGGCUGGUCAGUCAACCAUUGAUCCUUCAGAAGGGGAAUCCAGCCUGUAGCAUUGCUCGCGGUGCUGCCCAGCAGAAAGCAGACACGACAGAUCUGCAAACGGAUCUUGAGUCAGCGUACGGCCGACUUGUCGAACAGCACCCGGUGACUCUGGGGGGUGAGGCGCCAGAUAAGACUCUGCGUGCUGAAAUCUCAGCUAGCUUUCAGCGGAAGCUGUAUGAGCGAUUGUUUGAAGGCCCAGAUGAAACUGCACAAGCAGCAUAUUCACUGUAUUCACAAGUAUUUUUUGAAACUAUAUUUAAAGAUAUUUACCAAGUAACAUGAAAGAUUGUUAGUUAAGACUAUACUUGACAACUUUGAACAUGGCAUGUUUUCUUGAUGGCGCCCUUUGGCCCUCGUCUACCCAGUCAGGAACAGGUCAGCAAGUGGAGGACCAACAUACCCAGUGCAGCCCAGUUCGUGAAGAAUGGAAGCCCCCUGGAUCCAUGGACACAGCAAUGGACGCUAAACAAAGCCGGACACGCACCAGGACACAAGUGAAAGGACUUAUUGUGACAGAAGAUGAAGGGCAAGGGCAUUAUUGCAACGUAAAGAUUUCUGGCUGGCGAGGUGGUGUGUGACCAUCACGGGCAGGUCAUCACCGCCUCAGAGGGACACAGCGCUCACAGCACUGUAAGUGUGGAGGACGGUCUUCAGGUUUUUUUCGAGAACAUGAAUGGACAGGCUAUGUGCAUCUAUCAAGACUCUAAAAUCAUGAAUCAUGCAUCUAAUAUCUUUGUGCCCUGCGAGGGACUGGCACCCUGUCCAGCGUGUACCCUGCCUUGUGCCUGAUGCUUCCUGGGAUAGGCUCCAGGUUCCCCCGCAACCCUGAAAAGGAGUAAGCAGUUGAGGAUGGAUCUAAUAUCAGGUUUAUAGUAGCACUUAUCGAAUAUCGUAGCUACUAUAUUGUAUCGAAUAUCAUGAGUCUUAAUUGGUCCCAUUAGAGCACAGUGAAAUUCUUUUCUUUGCCCCCCUUAAGGACCUUGCUCAAGGGUCCAACAGUUCCAGCUUGGCAUUGCUGGGGCUUGAACCACCGACCUUCCCAUCAUAGCCUUAACCGCUAUGCCACCAAUGCCACAUCGAUAAUAAACUUUGAGCACAGCUUGACAGUGUAAACUUAAAUUCUUGUUAUAAAUUGUAUUUAUACACUCAUGCACAUACAUUUUGUUUACAGAGGAGUAUUUACACACAUUCACACAUUUGUAACCAAAGGAAGUCUAACCCCAUUUCCUAUAAAAGAUUUUCUUUGAGCACCGUAAUCAAACGCUUGUGUUUAUUUGUGUUUCCUUCAGUGGAUUUUCUCUGUAUUUUGAUCUUCAGAGUUCUUUAUUGUACUCAUGGUCUCAUUUUGAAGGUUUGCUGAGCGCAACAUUGUCCACUGCUUGCGGUGCAAGAAGCCGCAGAAGCAUCUCGCUGGCCACCUGCUAGAGUGUGUAUGAAAGACAGCACAGCAGAAGAAAGGCAAGCUGAGAUCCAGAAGGCCAAGGUAUCUUCCAGACGGUGGGUCUGCAGGAACAGGACCUGGGACUACCGCCAGCUUUGUUCUAUCCUGCCCCACAGUCCGUGUGCUUCUUUACUGGUGGAAGAGUUUCAGAGGCGUGGGUUCUUUAUCACCAACAUGCCACAAGAGUCAGACAUGGCUAUGGACUCCGGUGAUGCCGCCUCCUCACAACAGGGUUCGCCUUCUGAUCAGAG
Ictalurus punctatus (channel catfish) is the source of this 2020-nucleotide long non-coding RNA. RefSeq lists it as uncharacterized. NCBI's taxonomy places the organism in Eukaryota, Metazoa, Chordata, Actinopteri, Siluriformes, Ictaluridae. The transcript has 3 exons. The record is from RefSeq and is a predicted model, not a curated record.